This 347-nucleotide ribosomal RNA is filed under the name uncultured bacterium. Its description in RNAcentral is "partial 16S ribosomal RNA". It matches the Rfam family "Bacterial small subunit ribosomal RNA", at positions 355 to 719 of the family's 1533-position model. The record is from RNAcentral.
UGGGGAAUAUUGGACAAUGGGGGCAACCCUGAUCCAGCAAUGCCGCGUGUGUGAAGAAGGUCUUCGGAUUGUAAAGCACUUUCGACGGGGACGAUGAUGACGGUACCCGUAGAAGAAGCCCCGGCUAACUUCGUGCCAGCAGCCGCGGUAAUACGAAGGGGGCUAGCGUUGCUCGGAAUGACUGGGCGUAAAGGGCGUGUAGGCGGUUUACACAGUCAGAUGUGAAAUCCCCGGGCUUAACCUGGGAGCUGCAUUUGAUACGUGUAGACUAGAGUGUGAGAGAGGGUUGUGGAAUUCCCAGUGUAGAGGUGAAAUUCGUAGAUAUUGGGAAGAACACCGGUGGCGAA